UACGUAGGGUGCAAGCGUUGUCCGGAUUUAUUGGGCGUAAAGAGCUCGUAGGCGGCUUAGAAAGUCAGGUGUGAAAACUCUGGGCUCAACCCAGAGACGCCACUUGAUACUUCUAUGGCUUGAGUUCGGUAGGGGACCAUGGAAUUCCUGGUGUAGCGGUGAAAUGCGCAGAUAUCAGGAGGAACACCGAUGGCGAAGGCAGUGGUCUGGGCCGAUACUGACGCUGAGGAGCGAAAGCGUGGGGAGCGAACAGG
RNAcentral lists this ribosomal RNA (254 nucleotides) under uncultured bacterium. RNAcentral's name for it is "partial 16S ribosomal RNA". It matches the Rfam family "Bacterial small subunit ribosomal RNA", at positions 524 to 776 of the family's 1533-position model. The record is from RNAcentral.